This 440-nucleotide ribosomal RNA is filed under the name uncultured bacterium. Its description in RNAcentral is "bacterial SSU rRNA". It matches the Rfam family "Bacterial small subunit ribosomal RNA", at positions 338 to 795 of the family's 1533-position model. The record is from RNAcentral.
CCUACGGGGGGCUGCAGUGGGGAAUAUUGCACAAUGGGCGAAAGCCUGAUGCAGCAACGCCGCGUGAGCGAUGAAGGCCUUCGGGUUGUAAAGCUCUGUCUUCGCUGACGAAACCUGACGGUAAGCGAGGAGGAAGCCACGGCUAACUACGUGCCAGCAGCCGCGGUAAUACGUAGGUGGCAAGCGUUGUCCGGAAUUAUUGGGCGUAAAGGAUGCGUAGGCGGCCCUUUAAGUGGGGUGUGAAAGGCUACGGCUCAACCGUAGUAAGCCUUUGAAACUGUAGGGCUUGAGUGCAGGAGAGGAGAGUGGAAUUCCCAGUGUAGCGGUGAAAUGCGUAGAUAUUGGGAGGAACACCAGUUGCGAAGGCGGCUCUCUGGACUGUAACUGACGCUGAGGCACGAAAGCGUGGGGAGCGAACAGGAUUAGAUACCCCUGUAGUC